This 294-nucleotide long non-coding RNA is filed under the name Carica papaya (papaya). RNAcentral describes it as "long non-coding RNA (CPAP_LNC012488)". The record is from RNAcentral. Lineage: Eukaryota; Viridiplantae; Streptophyta; Magnoliopsida; Brassicales; Caricaceae.
CAAGCUUUUCGUAAUUUAAUCGUUACACAACAUAUUUUCCUCAUUUACCAGCCCACUAGUAUCCAUGGGGAUCCAUAGGGGUCCCGCUACCCGUUAACCCUUAACACUUGAAAUCAUAUUCCAGGGCUGUCCCCAUACCCCGUCCGGUAUGGGCGCCAAACCAUAGACCUCAUUACCCCGUUCGGUAUGAGGGUGAAACGGGCCGUCCCCAUACCCCGUCCGGUAUGGGCGCCAAAACACAUAAGAUCUCCAUACCCCGUCCGGUAUGGGAGACCACAAUCCCGGUAGGGUUCC